AGUGCAGUCAUCAUUUCCAAUCCGAGCAGGCCAGCGUCAAGUUCAGGUGGUCGUCUAAUACGUCCACAACUUGCCUGUGAACAACGACAUUGAGGAAACUAAGAGAGGUCGGACAAAUGUGUAAUGUUGGGCUCCUUCCAGUCUUCUUGGGAUCAUCUUCGAGUCCGGUUUUGGAGGGUUUCGCUCACUGGUGUCCCAUCAGACAACGAUGCGGAAGGUUCAUAGAUGCAGCUUUUCAAAACUAUCAGCUAAACCUGUAUAAGACUGACCUUCUACUGAUCCCAAACUAGGGCCAACUCCGUCACAUUGUCAACCCCAAUUAGGCAUCUGCCCCAAACAAGGUGAUCUUACUGAGUCAUUGUUCCCCAAUAGUGUAGCAAGCGAUCCGAGGCUAAAGUACUAGACCCAUAUCUUUAUGUUUGUAUGUCCAUCCAUUAUCUUUAUUGCUAUUGUUUUGCUUUUGGUAAGUAAUUUAUUGAUGCAGUCAUGCACUACUCAGAGAUGGCAUUUUUUGAUUCCACAGGGCCCAUAACACCAUCAGCUCCUUUUGUUAUUGACUCAGUGCUGACUGUACUCUGCUGGCGCAUUGCCCCUUGGUGUGCUUGCCUCAGUGUCCGUCACUUCAACUAGUGUAUGCUAUUGACUAUGUCUCUCUUAGUCAAUUUGGACCUUAGCAUCUUUGUAAUGUAAU
Engraulis encrasicolus (European anchovy) is the source of this 691-nucleotide long non-coding RNA. RefSeq lists it as uncharacterized. The transcript is spliced from 3 exons. NCBI's taxonomy places the organism in Eukaryota, Metazoa, Chordata, Actinopteri, Clupeiformes, Engraulidae. The record is from RefSeq and is a predicted model, not a curated record.